This 413-nucleotide long non-coding RNA is filed under the name Setaria viridis. RNAcentral's name for it is "long non-coding RNA (SVIR_LNC004377)". Lineage: Eukaryota; Viridiplantae; Streptophyta; Magnoliopsida; Poales; Poaceae. The record is from RNAcentral.
UCAAGUUUGUUGAAUGAAGAUAUUAAGUACUCAAUAAGAUAUACUAUGAUGCCAAGUUGUGCUUAGGUGCCUAAGAUAGAAAGAUACAAGUACUCAAUAGGCAAUCAAAUUGUGCCUCUCGCCAUCAAUAAGAUACCAUUUAUUAAUGAACUUAGGUGCCUAAGACAAAAAUGCAAAUUAGUUCAAUUGCGCGGUCUCUAAUUCAAUUUAGGAUCAUGAUUAUGAUGAUCUUUAUUCUUACAAUACUUCAGUUAAGAUCACAAUUUGAAACAAAUGUCAAAUGCAUAAAAGUGUUUAUAAUAUGGCCCUGUGCAUAAAAGAGUAUAGGCAUGUUUCAUAGUGCACACCAAAAACUACUUAUAUGCUCCAUAUAUCCUCCAAAGGAGAUAUUAUAAGUUACUUAACUACUCCCU